Non-coding RNA from Pelobates cultripes (western spadefoot toad), 207 nucleotides. The record is from the annotation of a GenBank genome assembly. NCBI's taxonomy places the organism in Eukaryota, Metazoa, Chordata, Amphibia, Anura, Pelobatidae.
CUGUUACCUUGCAGAGUGGAAUGCAGAUCUCUGGUGUUCCAGUGUGCAGGAAAUCUGAUCUGCCCCUUCACAGGGUGCAGACUGAGUAACUGUCUCGUGAGCUUAGGCAUUAACAAUGUCAGAGCUUUCCUCUGGUAAUCUGCAGCAACGCACUGAUAGGCCGAAGCUCGGAAGACAGCUACUUAUGGUCUGCAGCCAGCAGAGAAG